UACGAAGGGGGCUAGCGUUGUUCGGAUUCACUGGGCGUAAAGGGUGCGUAGGCGGGUCUUUAAGUCAGGGGUGAAAUCCUGGAGCUCAACUCCAGAACUGCCUUUGAUACUGAAGAUCUUGAGUGCGGGAGAGGUGAGUGGAACUGCGAGUGUAGAGGUGAAAUUCGUAGAUAUUCGCAAGAACACCAGUGGCGAAGGCGGCUCACUGGCCCGAUACUGACGCUGAGGCACGAAAGCGUGGGGAGCAAACAGG
This 253-nucleotide ribosomal RNA is filed under the name uncultured bacterium. RNAcentral describes it as "partial 16S ribosomal RNA". It matches the Rfam family "Bacterial small subunit ribosomal RNA", at positions 524 to 776 of the family's 1533-position model. The record is from RNAcentral.